RNAcentral lists this ribosomal RNA (497 nucleotides) under uncultured bacterium. Its description in RNAcentral is "partial 16S ribosomal RNA". It matches the Rfam family "Bacterial small subunit ribosomal RNA", at positions 28 to 507 of the family's 1533-position model. The record is from RNAcentral.
GACGAACGCUGGCGGCGUGCCUAAUACAUGCAAGUCGAGCGGACGGAUGGGAGCUUGCUCCCAGACCGUCAGCGGUGGACGGGUGAGUAACACGUGGGCAACCUGCCUGUAAGACUGGGAUAACUCCGGGAAACCGGGGCUAAUACCGGAUACUCUUUCCCUCACAUGAGGGAAAGCUGAAAGAUGGCAUCUCGCUAUCACUUACAGAUGGGCCCGCGGCGCAUUAGCUAGUUGGUGAGGUAACGGCUCACCAAGGCGACGAUGCGUAGCCGACCUGAGAGGGUGAUCGGCCACACUGGGACUGAGACACGGCCCAGACUCCUACGGGAGGCAGCAGUAGGGAAUCUUCCGCAAUGGACGAAAGUCUGACGGAGCAACGCCGCGUGAGUGAUGAAGGUUUUCGGAUCGUAAAACUCUGUUGUCAGGGAAGAACAAGUACCGGAGUAACUGCCGGUACCUUGACGGUACCUGACCAGAAAGCCACGGCUAACUACGUG